GGUACUAUGGCACAGUGGAUAGUGCAUUGGACUUCUAGCUAGGCCUUGGUGUGGUUAUUCAAAGGUUGUGGGUUCGAGUUACACCAGCGUCA
This 92-nucleotide transfer RNA is filed under the name Otolemur garnettii (small-eared galago). It matches the Rfam family "tRNA". From Rfam's summary of the family: Transfer RNA (tRNA) molecules are approximately 80 nucleotides in length. The record is from Rfam by way of RNAcentral. Lineage: Eukaryota; Metazoa; Chordata; Mammalia; Primates; Galagidae.